Molecule: ribosomal RNA, 485 nt
Filed under: uncultured bacterium
Lineage: Bacteria
Description: bacterial SSU rRNA
Rfam family: Bacterial small subunit ribosomal RNA
Source: RNAcentral
GACGACGCUGGCGGCGUGGAUUAGGCAUGCAAGUCGAACGGUAUCAUCCUUUCGGGGGUGAGAGAGUGGCGAACUGGUGAGUAACACGUAGGUUAUCUACCCUCAAGACGGGACAACCCAGGGAAACUUGGGCUAAUACCGGAUGUGAGCAACUUUUAGUUGUUUGAAGGGUGGCGUAAGCUGUCGCUUGGGGAUGAGCCUGCGUCCUAUUAGUUAGUUGGUGAGGUAACGGCUCACCUAGGCAAUGAUAGGUAGGCGGCCUUAACGGGUGGUCGCCCACACUGGGAUUGAGAUACGGCCCAGACUCCUACGGGAGGCAGCAGUCGAGAAUAGUCUACAAUGGUCGGAAGACUGAUAGUGCGACGCCGCGUGAACGAUGAAUCCCUUCGGGGUGUAAAGUUCUUUUAUAUGUGAGCAGUGCUUCUUAUAUUAACAGUAUGGGGAGAGAGAUAUUAGCAUAUGAAUAAGCAACGGCUAACUCCGUG